This 244-nucleotide ribosomal RNA is filed under the name Encephalitozoon hellem. RNAcentral's name for it is "partial small subunit ribosomal RNA". It matches the Rfam family "Microsporidia small subunit ribosomal RNA", at positions 974 to 1230 of the family's 1311-position model. The record is from RNAcentral. Lineage: Eukaryota; Fungi; Microsporidia; Unikaryonidae.
UGACUGUGCUCUAUGGGGCAAGGAAGGAAUGGAACAGAACAGGUCCGUUAUGCCCUGAGAUGAAGCGGGCGGCACGCGCACUACGAUAGAUGCCUAUGUGGGCUACUGUGAGGGAUGAAGCUGUGUAAUGGGCUUCUGAACGUGGAAUUCCUAGUAAGAAUGAUUGAACAAGUUAUUUUGAACGUGUCCCUGUCCUUUGUACACACCGCCCGUCGCUAUCUAAGAUGACGCAGUGGACGAAGAU